GGCGCACAGGGUGGCGGGGGGAAGUAGAUUUGCAAUAAGCUUUAUCCUUAGAAGUGCAAAAAAAUAUCCACAAAGGCAAACAAUUACCAUUUCAUACAAAGAACAUGAGACUUGACCUUAGGCCAAAAAGUGGGAACAUAAGAUAACAAAACCAAAAACCAACAGUAAAGCACAAAUUUUGUGUAUUUUAUUUUUCAAAGAAUAAGGGUCAAAACAAGGGUUUCACCUCCAGAAUCAUUUGCUCAUUUCAAUAAGUCAUUUACAUUUUUAUUAAACAGAGAGGGACAGAGAAGGAGAGAAUGAGAUAAGGAAUCUGUCAAA
RNAcentral lists this unclassified non-coding RNA (321 nucleotides) under Hevea brasiliensis (rubber tree). Lineage: Eukaryota; Viridiplantae; Streptophyta; Magnoliopsida; Malpighiales; Euphorbiaceae. The record is from RNAcentral.